Molecule: unclassified non-coding RNA, 228 nt
Filed under: Hevea brasiliensis (rubber tree)
Lineage: Eukaryota; Viridiplantae; Streptophyta; Magnoliopsida; Malpighiales; Euphorbiaceae
Source: RNAcentral
GGUUGAUUCUUUUGCCAAUUGGCUGAAAAAUGGUCAGGAGACGCUACGGCAGAUAGGAAGUCUCCCUGACCCUCCGUUGUCAUUGAUGCAAUAUAAUCUAGAUGAGAAGGAAAGGUUCAGAGAUUUGCGAGCUCAGAAGAGUCUGAGUACCAUUGGCCCAAGCUCCGAAGAAGUCAGAGAGUAUUUCCGUAAAGAGGAAUUCCUUAGGUACUCAAUACCUGACAGGGC